AGAGUUUGAUCCUGGCUCAGAACGAACGCUGGCGGCGUGUCUAAUACAUGCAAGUCGAACGAGAAAGCCCGGCUUCGGCUGGGUGAGUACAGUGGCGAACGGGUGAGUAACACGUGGGCAAUCUUCCCUUUUGUCUGGGAUAAGCUCGGGAAACUGAGUCUAAUACCGGAUAAUACCUCGAGGCGACAUCGUCCCGAGGUCAAAGGCGGGGCAACCUGCCGCAGAAGGAUGAGCCCGCGGUCCAUUAGCUUGUUGGUGAGGUAACGGCCCACCAAGGCGACGAUGGAUAGCCGGCCUGAGAGGGUGAACGGCCACACUGGGACUGAGAUACGGCCCAGACCCCUACGGGAGGCAGCAGUAGGGAAUAUUGCGCAAUGGGCGAAAGCCUGACGCAGCGACGCCGCGUGGGUGAUGAAGCUCUUUGGAGUGUAAAACCCUGUCAGUGGGGAAGAACCGCAUGGGGAGUAACUGCUUCAUGCCUGACGGUACCCACAGAGGAAGCUCCGGCUAACUCCGUGCCAGCAGCCGCGGUAAUACGGGGGGAGCGAGCGUUGUUCGGAUUUACUGGGCGUAAAGGGCGCGUAGGCGGGUCUUCAAGUCGAAUGUGAAAUCCGACGGCUUAACCAUCGGCCUGCAUUCGAUACUGGAGACCUUGAGUACGGGAGAGGAAAGUGGAAUUCCUGGUGUAGCGGUGAAAUGCGUAGAUAUCAGGAGGAACACCGGUGGCGAAGGCGGCUUUCUGGCCCGAUACUGACGCUGAGGCGCGAAGGCCGGGGGAGCAAACAGGAUUAGAUACCCUGGUAGUCCCGGCGGUAAACGAUGGACACUAGGUGUUGGAGGUAUCGACCCCUUCAGUGCCGCAGCUAACGCAUUAAGUGUCCCGCCUGGGGAGUACGGCCGCAAGGCUGAAACUCAAAGGAAUUGACGGGGGCCCGCACAAGCGGUGGAGUAUGUGGUUUAAUUCGAAGCAACGCGCAGAACCUUACCUGGGUUUGACAUGUACCGGACAGUGGCUGAAAGGUCAUCUUCCCUUCGGGGAUCGGUAUACAGGUGCUGCAUGGCUGUCGUCAGCUCGUGCCGUGAGGUGUUGGGUUAAGUCCCGCAACGAGCGCAACCCCUGUCCUUAGUUGCCAUCAGGUUAUGCUGGGAACUCUAAGGAGACUGCCGGUGAUAAGCUGGAGGAAGGUGGGGACGACGUCAAGUCCUCAUGGCCCUUACACCCAGGGCUACACACGUACUACAAUGGUCGGCACAGAGGGCUGCAAUGCCGCGAGGUGGAGCCAAUCCCUAAAGCCGGCCUCAGUUCAGAUUGGAGUCUGCAACUCGACUCCAUGAAGGUGGAAUCGCUAGCAAUCGCGAAUCAGCAGGUCGCGGUGAAUACGUUCCCGGGCCUUGUACACACCGCCCGUCAAGCCACGGAAGUUGGGGGUACCCGAAGUCGUUUGCCUAACCGCAAGGAGGGCGGCGCCUAAGGUAAAACCGAUGACUGGGCUAAGUCGUAACAAGGUA
RNAcentral lists this ribosomal RNA (1509 nucleotides) under metagenome. Its description in RNAcentral is "bacterial SSU rRNA". It matches the Rfam family "Bacterial small subunit ribosomal RNA". The record is from RNAcentral.